Non-coding RNA from Oryzias latipes (Japanese medaka), 5875 nucleotides. NCBI's taxonomy places the organism in Eukaryota, Metazoa, Chordata, Actinopteri, Beloniformes, Adrianichthyidae. The record is from RefSeq and is a predicted model, not a curated record.
UUUUUUUUUCUUUUGGAGAGCAUGACUGAUACUGUACUGCGUCCUGUCCAAAGCUCUCUGUUAAAGCAACACAGAGGCUUCCGAUGCGUCUUAACCAGGUUAUGUUUCAUUUGCCACGCAGAUCGUCCAUCCCACUGUGAGUAUGCGGCGCCGCGGCGCCUCGUCGUAUUCAGACAGCCCAUCUGUAGACGGGCACCUGUUGCCCGUCGUUUUACUUUCUCGAAUCUCCACGCGGUGGCUGACUGAUCAUUUUUGUGUGUUUUUUUAAAGUCAACACAUUUGUGUUUGCAUACAUGUGUGUUCCCCAAGCCCCCCCCCCCCCCCAGAGACCAACCAAAUGCUUCCCAUUUGAAAUCUCAGCGCGAAGCUUUCAAGUGUUUGACCUAAUUUCUCUGGCAGCAAAAAAUCCGCCGGUGAAGGCCUUCCUCUGUUUGUGUGUGUGCGCGCACACACACACGCAGCUCUGGGUGUUUCCUCCUCGCCUUUUUCUAACAGGAAGCUGAUGCGGAGUUCAGCUGAGGACAGGGGGAAAAGGCCUUUUCUUUCCACUCAGAAUCAUUUCAGAGUGAAAAAAAGAGAAGAGUUGAGAGAGGAGGGAAAAAAAUCCAGCCCUGCUGCAUUGAUUCAACACUCUGCAAUCUGCCCAUUUUUUUUUCUCCUCUUCCCUCCCUGUGUUCACUCUUUUCUGUCUAUUUCAGCAUUUUCUUUUUUACUAUUUUGUAGUUUUUAUGGCAGCAAAUGGUUCAGUUUGUGCCGAUUUAAUGUUCCCAAUAAUGUGAGGAGGUUUCUUUUAGUUGGAGGGGAGCUAAGGAAGCUUGCAAAUGAAGCCGAGCCCCGUGGAGGUUUUUUCGGUUCAGUUUCGACAUACCCACAGCAAAGAGGCAAGCCGUGCUCUGCACCAAGGAAGAAGAGAAAUUAAAGCACACCCACCCAACUAUCUGGGCUAAGGGUGAGCAGCACGUGGAGCAGCAGCGGCAUCAGGGAGGAGGUGAAGCCGGCACAGACCAACAAGAAUACUGGAAAAGGAUGAUGGAUCUCUGAGAUGUUCCACCCACCCCCAGUGGAACGUGUGACCUGACGUGGGCUUAAGACAUACCUCAUUUGAAAGGCUUCUGCAGAGGAGAGCAUUGGUGAGCACAACAUUUUUGCUUCAUACCAAAGCGUGAAUAAAUGUUCAGUGAUCUAUGAAACAGCCUUAUAAGUGAUUGCGGUUGCACAUGCUCGGAAAUACUUCAUAUUGUAUGAGAAAAAGACUAAAAUAGUUCCCGUCAGGUUGCCAUGUUCACUCUAGUUGAACAGAAUGAGAUCAAAUAUAUCGGGAAGUGGUAUCUAAAUAUUAAGUGGAACGUUUGGAUCUAUCUUCCUGCCUUUUAUACUUUGGUCACAACUGCCCUUACAGGUGGAUACGGGCUGUCUGAGGGCAAAAAAUGGGCAAACCUCUACAGGGCACUGAGGUAACCCGCACGAAAUAUCAAUAUCGUAGGCCGUUGGCGAUCCCGUAGAGCGAAAUUGUUCAUGCACGUUUUUUUCUAUGGGUAUGCCGCGGUCGACGAAUCCUAGCAAACACUUAUACGACCCGUAAAGGUGAACUAGGUAAGAUGCAGGCGUGUCGUAUGGGUUUUUUUUUCAAUCCCCCCAAAUCCUGCACACUAAGCGGGGAGCCUAUUCGUGCUGUUAAAGUGGUAAGUUGCACUCCUUCCAUGCAGCCUGACUGUUAGAAUUUAGGAAAUUAGACAGCCCUAUGGGCGUCCUACAGGGACUUGCAUAUCACGUGCACACCCUGAUGCUGCGGCAUUUGCACGCCACCGGUAAGGAUUCAGUAUGCGCACCUUACAAACAACUAAAUUGUGGUGUAAGGGCAACGUAUGACUGCAUCAGCCGUACGCCAUAAGUGCAUCUUUACAAAUACCUAACGAUAUAGUUACUACACCCACAACAAUGGUACGCUCCUCUUUCAUGACAUCGCCUUGAGUUGGCAGUAUGAGCCUAGAGGGAACUAAAAGACACACCUGCGCUCCCCUUGAGAUGCAGCCGCACCUCUCUACGACCCCAUACGGGCCCGGACAACCCAAAAACUCCCAGCAUGACUAAGGCCUAAGUAGCUUCUUUUUGAAAGGGUGACUUCAUGGGAUAAGUCCACAGUUUUGAAGACAUUGUGAGCGUUUGAUUUAUUGCUUUUAAAUGGAGUUUAAUGUUGUAAUCAGACAAAGUGUUUAGGUGUGUUUGAAUGUCUGACUGCUGUCGCUGUCUUACUGUGUCUGUCUCUAAGGAAACGAAACACAAAUACAAGACUAUUUGUGGAUGAUUUCCAAGCAGAAAUGUGUAAACGAGUUGAUGGGAACAUAUUUUUCACUGCGAGAACUCGACUUUAGCCGAUCAUUGUACCUCGCCAAAAUGAAUUGGUCUCAAGCAGGAGGUUAUAAUUUUGUUUAGAACCAUAUCUGUGGGAUAGCAGAGAAAAAAGUCUGUCCCCCCCCUGCCAUUUUUCAACGCACCCCAAAAAGUUAAUAACGCUUUGAAGCAAAAAAUGUAGGAUUUGCAUUUAAUACAGUAUCACUGUGUGUAGUAUAGAGAGUUCCUCUGUGCUGCUACUGGUUAGUUUUGAGCAUGAAAGUGUAUUGGACGGACUAAAUAAGAGAAAUGGAAAAAUCUUCCGACACCAGAGUUUCUAGGGGUGGGGGGGUGGCUUAAUUUUUUUUUUUUACUUUACACUCCCCAUUUUGUUAGAUACAGACGCACAAAAGGCUGUAGGUGAAUAUGAAACUGUUAACGUGCUGCAGUACUGUCUCUAAUGGCAAAGUAACAAUCAGUUUGUAGGAUUCCUGCUGGAAUACUUAGAUGAUUCCCUUCUAAUGUUCGCGUUGAGCCACCGUUUGGACUUCGCUUCCAAUUAUGGCUCCAAACUCUCCCAGAGCCCGGCGUCAGGUGCUGCCCUCGGCCAGCCAGCCAGCCAGCCAGCCAGCCAGCCAGGCCUGUGUCCGUGCCCAGAGAGCCCGACCUGGCAGCUCCAAGGCUGCGACGUGUGAAACGCUGCACACAAAGGGACUCCCUCCAUCUGUAUGCAGCCUACAUAGGCAGGCUUUUGUUGCAGUCGACAGGCACAUGACUGCUAGCAUCUUAACCCCUGAGAGCCAGCGUCUCUCUUCUCCACUCACUGAACUGUACACUGAAGGAGAAACCAGUCAAUCAACACAAAAAAAAGCUGUUUAAUAUAGUUUUGCAUUCUAGAAUGUGCUUUUUAAUCAUGUGAUGCUAUAAUUAGGUUUUGUUUUGGGUUCAUACUCAUUAUUUAAUAGAAUUUUUUUAAGUUUCAUUUGAAAAUGAAUGUUGGGCAAUAAUACAGGAAAAAUAAAUCCAGAUUAUUUCUGUUGGAAAGUCAUAAAAAUAGUUAUUAGGAAUAUUUUUCAUCUAUAAAUGCAUUAAUGCAUAUGUUAUAGAAUCUCUGUUACUUUUCAAAGAACUUACAAAACAUCCAAGUCAACUAAAAAAAUAUAAAAAUAUAUAUUUAUUUUUAGGGGGUCAUAGUAAAAAAAAGUGUUAAGAUGCAUAAACAUGCAGUCAUAACCUAUAAAUGACAGACAACUUUUCAGAUUGGAGGCUUUUUUUAAAAGUUUGUUUCUGUUGACUUAUCUUUUUUUUUUAAUUACAAAAAACUGCCGAAGUGAAAUUCUUCAACUUUUUAAAAACUGAAGGUUUUUGAAGUUAUAAAUUAUGUAAAUUUAAAAAGCGAGUCCCUUUUAUUUCGUCCUUAACUUAAAGAAAUAUUUGGAAUGACUUUUUAUGUCUUCUAUGUCACUAAGCGGUCAAAAAAACUAAAUUUUGUUUUUUUUUUUAACAUAAAAUAUCCAUAUUGUUGGUUUUAUGUUUGGAAAAGCUGGCGGGCCUGUAAGCCUUUUACCACAUGCAGCGUAGAAUGUUCCAGACACACACGUGCAGAAAUAGGAACUCUUUCCAAAACCUUUAGUCAGACGGACUCGAUCAGAAUAAGUAGAACUCUUUCUAAAGUUCCACCUUUCAUGAAAGAAACAUGAACAAAAAAAGCUAUCCUAUAAAGUUCUCCCAGGACCUUCCUGGCUGGGUCCGAUCCUGAGGAAGGCUGGGGGUACCAGAGGCUGCCGUUUGGGCCGAGCCAGGUCCACUCAGGCCCGUCCAGGCUUCAGAGGCUGUGUGACGUGGCAUUAAACUAGAACCAACAGCAGGUCCGAACGCUUUAGGAGGUGGUACCAGUCUCUGAGAACAUGAGAGAGCUGCAAACGUGUUUGAUAAGAGCUGCUUUAAAAAAAGAAUCCCGAUGUUUCUGUGUGAGGGCCCUGACAUGUGAACAGUUCACACCACCGUCAGAGAGGUGUGUUUCUGUGGAGGAAAGAAGAGAGGUAAGUUUAAAAAAAUAGAUAGAUUACACUUUUUUCUUAUUCAUAUAGUUAGAAAUCUGAUUUAUUUUUAACAUAUAGAAAUGAAUUAACUUUGAAAAAAUUCAGCUCUUGAUUUGUAUUAAAAGUUUUUUUUUUAUGAUGUAGUUUUAUGCACAGCUUUACUGUUCUUGUGUAUUUUAUUGUUUUCUUUUGUUGCUCAAAUUAGAUUUUAUAAAUUAAAAUAAAUACCAAAGAUAAAAAUGUAAAUGCAAACUAAAUUAGAUAAACUUUUUUAAUGAAACAAACUUUUUCAGUUGAACUGGUUGCAAAAAAAGGCUGAUAAAGUGGAAUCUUUUCGAGGACAGUGAUUCUCCCGACGCCCAGACUUCACUUAAACGAAGAAGAAGCACAGAAAAGAGAAGCUGUGAAGCUGCCACAGUGCUGCUGGAUUUACAGGAUUUACUGUUGUUUUUAAAAGCCGUUUAGGACACGUCGUCUGUAGCGAUAGCAGGUCCAUUUUCUCCUUUCCUUCCCAAGCUUGGCUCUGCUGUCCUGCCGUGCAGCCUCCCUCCACACACAGAAGCUCGGCUUUUUUUUGGUUAAUUAUUAUCAAGGAAAUGCAUUUGAGUCAAAGUGCUUCGAUAAUGCACUUGAUACCACUUAGUUUACAACAAAUUAUGUGUUUUCUUAACUUAAAAGUUCUACAUUUACUCUUUCAGCACAUAUUUAAUUGUUUUUUCCUUUUAACAAAAAUAAAACUAAAUUAAAAAAACAUUUGAAACUGUUAAAAUACAGUAAUUUUAAGGUUGGAUUUCAAUUUUAAAAAAAAGUUUUAUUCUGUGGUUUGGGAACCAAUUUUAGUAAAACAUUUUUGGUGUUAAUAGAUUUUUCCAAACUUCUCUCUCUUAGCUCAUGUACAAAUUCAUAAGGAUAAAGAAAAUGUCAAAUGAAAAACCUUAAGUAAUUUAUAAAUUAAUAUCCACAUCUCAACUUGAAUCCAUUUAAAUAUGUAGGAAAACCACCAAUUUUGCUUUUCUCCUUUUGUAGAUUUGUUUCUUAUAAAUAAGGUUUGAUAGAUUUAAUGUAUGAAAAUCCCACAAUAUUCAUUUAGAUAAUGUAAAAAAAACCUCAAAUUUAACAGUAAAUAAUUGCAUUUUUGUAAAGAUGCUUUUUUUAAACCAAAAAUGUGCAUUUUGGUUCAAAUAAAUGUUAAAUUUUGUGUCAUUAGAACAUACUCCUAAUUGUUCCUUUUUAACAAAUCUUUACAUUUAGGGAAUUUGGGGAACUAAGUUAAACAAAUGAAGGUGAAGCUGGAAUCUGUUUGCACGAGUUUUAAGUGAAAAAAUUUGACCGUUUGGUCUUUUUUCCAGACCAUUUUUCAUUUAAUGUCUAAAAUAAAAAUGAGUUUUAGUAAAUGUAGUUUCUGCUUCUGUAAACGAUGCUCUCAAACCUUUUAAUUCACAUUAGGAGACAAAUUCAUUAUUGUGCAGCCAUGCGCCAUUUAAAAAAAGAAAAAAGAAAAA